Long non-coding RNA from Epinephelus moara (kelp grouper), 1245 nucleotides. RefSeq lists it as uncharacterized. The record is from RefSeq and is a predicted model, not a curated record. Lineage: Eukaryota; Metazoa; Chordata; Actinopteri; Perciformes; Serranidae. The transcript has 3 exons.
ACACCUCCGCCCUUAAUUGGCAUCAGCUGGGCCUAAUUUCCAGUUGUCGGAGCCUAAUUGCGCAGUGGUGGCACCUGCGUUAUUUGGUCUUCCCCUCACGGGCGCGCUCACUUCUACCUGGCGUUUACCUGGCGAGGGCUGUGUGUGGCGUGCUCCGGUUGGCGUGCUUUGUGUGUGUCGUGCUCCGGUUUCUGUACCCAAACUUGGGACUCAUAAGCGGCGUUGGCCGUUCCUGUUGUGUGCAGCUUCGGAGGGGACUUUGAAAAGCGUGGUGUCUGCUCUUCCUCACUGCGAGACGGUGACUGGGUUUGAGCUGUGCGCUAUGCGUUAAGCUCCCUUCGCUCCGUUUUCCUCUAGGUGACCCAGACAGACUGGACCAGUGGACACUCAACACAAGGAGACUGCAUCUGUGCAGUGAACACUUUGCGAGUCGUCACUUCAGCACUGACUCCAGGAUAAAGACACCUUUUUUCAUACAGUACCUCACAAAGAGUCAAGAAACUUAUUAGUUUAAAAUGAUGAAUUAUUGUCCAUAAUACAUUUAAAUGCAUUUACUAAUUUUCAUACAUUACUAAGUACUCAAUUAGGGCACAGCUUGCUCUGUACUAUUACUGAUAAGGUGAAAUUACUGACACACCAGUGCAGUUUAGUGUUCCCCUGAUGCAAAAGGCCAAAUGAAGAUUUUAUCAAUCAAGGAACAUGACAUGUAUUUACCAACUUUAACAUUUUAGUGCCUUUUAUGCAAAGACCCUUUAUCAAAGUGAGAAUUACUACCUUUUUCCCCACACACAGUCUGUGAAGAACCAAUGGAAAAAAUAUUCUCAUAAUGAGACAGCCGAACAUAGCAUGAUUCCACAGUGGCAGUGAGCUUUGAGAACAGUUCAGUUUCCUUUUGAUAGCAACAAUUAUUUUAAUGUGGAUGAAUUGCAUAUUGUACAUUCAUACUCCAGUUGUUUUGAGAGUACAGUUAAAUUUAAAAUCACAUUCACAUAUAAAGUCGAAUAUCUACAGAACUUAAACACAAAACUAUUUUAUGAAUGACAGCCACUUACUCAGCAAUAAGAUCAUUUUGGUGGUGAGUGGGCUUUUAACCAAGACAGGCUGUAGUCAAUGUUUUCUACCUGUGUUUUUAACCUGUCAUCUUUCUCUCAUGUAGGACACUUGAGGAAAGUUACAACGCCUCGGCCAAUGUGAUAUUUACUCCACAAUAAAGAGGUUGUUUCACAAGAAAUUAAGAUUUUGCAA